This 77-nucleotide transfer RNA is filed under the name Mus musculus (house mouse). RNAcentral's name for it is "tRNA-Thr". Lineage: Eukaryota; Metazoa; Chordata; Mammalia; Rodentia; Muridae. The record is from RNAcentral.
GCUGGAGAGAUGGCUCAGUGGUUUAGAGCACUGAUUGGUGUUCCAGAGGUCCUGAGUUCAAUUCCCAACAACUAGCA